This 482-nucleotide ribosomal RNA is filed under the name uncultured bacterium. RNAcentral's name for it is "partial 16S ribosomal RNA". It matches the Rfam family "Bacterial small subunit ribosomal RNA", at positions 30 to 507 of the family's 1533-position model. The record is from RNAcentral.
AUUGAACGCUGGCGGCAUGCUUUACACAUGCAAGUCGAACGGUAACAGGCCGCAAGGUGCUGACGAGUGGCGAACGGGUUAGUAAUGCAUCGGAACGUGCCCAGUCGUGGGGGAUAACUACUCGAAAGAGUAGCUAAUACCGCAUACGAUCUAUGGAUGAAAGCGGGGGACCGUAAGGCCUCGCGCGAUUGGAGCGGCCGAUGUCAGAUUAGGUAGUUGGUGGGGUAAAGGCUCACCAAGCCAACGAUCUGUAGCUGGUCUGAGAGGACGACCAGCCACACUGGGACUGAGACACGGCCCAGACUCCUACGGGAGGCAGCAGUGGGGAAUUUUGGACAAUGGGCGCAAGCCUGAUCCAGCAAUGCCGCGUGCAGGAAGAAGGCCUUCGGGUUGUAAACUGCUUUUGUACGGAACGAAACGGCUCUGGUUAAUACCCGGGGCUAAUGACGGUACCGUAAGAAUAAGCACCGGCUAACUACGUG